AGGGAAUCUUCCGCAAUGGACGAAAGUCUGACGGAGCAACGCCGCGUGAGUGAUGAAGGUUUUCGGAUCGUAAAGCUCUGUUGCCAGGGAAGAACGUCUUCUGGAGUAACUGCCAGGAGAGUGACGGUACCUGAGAAGAAAGCCCCGGCUAACUACGUGCCAGCAGCCGCGGUAAUACGUAGGGGGCGAGCGUUGUCCGGAAUUAUUGGGCGUAAAGCGCGCGCAGGUGGCUGUUUAAGUCCGGUGUUUAAUCCUGGGGCUCAACCCCGGGUCGCACUGGAAACUGGACAGCUUGAGUGCAGAAGAGGAGAGUGGAAUUCCACGUGUAGCGGUGAAAUGCGUAGAGAUGUGGAGGAACACCAGUGGCGAAGGCGACUCUCUGGGCUGUAACUGACGCUGAGGCGCGAAAGCGUGGGGAGCAAAC
Molecule: ribosomal RNA, 424 nt
Filed under: uncultured bacterium
Lineage: Bacteria
Description: bacterial SSU rRNA
Rfam family: Bacterial small subunit ribosomal RNA
Source: RNAcentral